AACGAACGCUGGCGGCAUGCCUAACACAUGCAAGUCGAACGAUUGCCUUCGGGUGAUAGUGGCGCACGGGUGCGUAACGCGUGGGAAUCUGCCCUUAGGUUCGGAAUAACAGCUGGAAACGGCUGCUAAUACCGGAUGAUAUCGCGAGAUCAAAGAUUUAUCGCCUGAGGAUGAGCCCGCGUUGGAUUAGGUAGUUGGUGGGGUAAAGGCCUACCAAGCCGACGAUCCAUAGCUGGUCUGAGAGGAUGAUCAGCCACACUUGGACUGAGACACGGCCCAGACUCCUACGGGAGGCAGCAGUGGGGAAUAUUGGACAAUGGGCGCAAGCCUGAUCCAGCAAUGCCGCGUGAGUGAUGAAGGCCCUAGGGUUGUAAAGCUCUUUUACCCGGGAAGAUAAUGACUGUACCGGGAGAAUAAGCCCCGGCUAACUCCGUG
This 435-nucleotide ribosomal RNA is filed under the name uncultured bacterium. RNAcentral describes it as "partial 16S ribosomal RNA". It matches the Rfam family "Bacterial small subunit ribosomal RNA", at positions 29 to 507 of the family's 1533-position model. The record is from RNAcentral.